GCCACAGCAUGGUAGCUUGUGCCUGUGGUCCAAACUACUCCAGAGGCUAAGGCAGGAGUAUCACUUGAGCCCAAGAUCUCUGGGCUGUAGUGCACUAUGCCAGUUGGUGUCCGUGCUGAAUCCAGCAUCAGUGUGGUUAUCUCCUGGUAGCAGGAACCACCAGGUUGCCUAAGGAGGGAUGAAUUGACCCAGAUCAGAAACAGAGCAGGUCAAACUCUUAUGCUGUUCAUAGUGGAACUGCACCCGUGAAUUAGCCACUGCACUCCAGCCUGGGCAAUGUAGUGAGACCCUGUCUCUU
Molecule: non-coding RNA, 298 nt
Organism: Nomascus leucogenys (northern white-cheeked gibbon)
Lineage: Eukaryota; Metazoa; Chordata; Mammalia; Primates; Hylobatidae
Rfam family: Metazoan signal recognition particle RNA
About the family: The signal recognition particle (SRP) is a universally conserved ribonucleoprotein. It is involved in the co-translational targeting of proteins to membranes.
Source: Rfam